UGCUGUUUUUGGACUACAAAUCCCAUCAUUCCUAACCAGCAGGAUCAGUGGUCAGGGGUGAUAGGAUUUGUAGUCCAAAACCAGCU
This is a non-coding RNA of Podarcis lilfordi (Lilford's wall lizard), 86 nucleotides long. Lineage: Eukaryota; Metazoa; Chordata; Lepidosauria; Squamata; Lacertidae. The record is from the annotation of a GenBank genome assembly.